UACGUAGGGAGCAAGCGUUGUCCGGAAUCAUUGGGCGUAAAGCGCGCGUAGGCGGCCCGAUAAGUCCGCUGUAAAAGUCAACGGCUCAACUGUCGAAAGCCGGUGGAUACUGUCGGGCUAGAGUACGGAAGAGGCAAGUGGAAUUCCUGGUGUAGCGGUGGAAUGCGCAGAUAUCAGGAGGAACACCUAUAGCGAAGGCAGCUUGCUGGGACGUUACUGACGCUAAGGCGCGAAAGCGUGGGGAGCGAACAGG
RNAcentral lists this ribosomal RNA (253 nucleotides) under uncultured bacterium. RNAcentral's name for it is "partial 16S ribosomal RNA". It matches the Rfam family "Bacterial small subunit ribosomal RNA", at positions 524 to 776 of the family's 1533-position model. The record is from RNAcentral.